RNAcentral lists this ribosomal RNA (739 nucleotides) under uncultured soil bacterium. RNAcentral describes it as "bacterial SSU rRNA". It matches the Rfam family "Bacterial small subunit ribosomal RNA", at positions 62 to 796 of the family's 1533-position model. The record is from RNAcentral.
UCGAACGGCAGCACGGGGGCCACCCUGGUGGCGAGUGGCGAACGGGUGAGUAAUACAUCGGAACGUGCCCUGUAGUGGGGGAUAACUAGUCGAAAGAUUAGCUAAUACCGCAUACGACCUGAGGGUGAAAGCGGGGGACCGCAAGGCCUCGCGCUACAGGAGCGGCCGAUGUCUGAUUAGCUAGUUGGUGGGGUAAAAGCCUACCAAGGCGACGAUCAGUAGCUGGUCUGAGAGGACGAUCAGCCACACUGGGACUGANACACGGCCCAGACUCCUACGGGAGGCAGCAGUGGGGAAUUUUGGACAAUGGGGGCAACCCUGAUCCAGCAAUGCCGCGUGUGUGAAGAAGGCCUUCGGGUUGUAAAGCACUUUUGUCCGGAAAGAAAUGGCUCUGGUUAAUACCCGGGGUCGAUGACGGUACCGGAAGAAUAAGCACCGGCUAACUACGUGCCAGCAGCCGCGGUAAUACGUAGGGUGCGAGCGUUAAUCGGAAUUACUGGGCGUAAAGCGUGCGCAGGCGGUUUUGUAAGACAGGCGUGAAAUCCCCGAGCUCAACUUGGGAAUGGCGCUUGUGACUGCAAGGCUAGAGUAUGUCAGAGGGGGGUAGAAUUCCACGUGUAGCAGUGAAAUGCGUANUGAUGUGGAGGAAUACCGAUGGCGAAGGCAGCCCCCUGGGACGUCACUGACGCUCAUGCACGAAAGCGUGGGGAGCAAACAGGAUUGGAUACCCUGGUAGUCC